RNAcentral lists this ribosomal RNA (492 nucleotides) under uncultured bacterium. RNAcentral describes it as "partial 16S ribosomal RNA". It matches the Rfam family "Bacterial small subunit ribosomal RNA", at positions 29 to 507 of the family's 1533-position model. The record is from RNAcentral.
AGUGAACGCUGGCGGUAGGCCUAACACAUGCAAGUCGAACGGCAGCACAGUAAGAGCUUGCUCUUACGGGUGGCGAGUGGCGGACGGGUGGGGAAUACAUCGGAAUCUACUUUUUCGUGGGGGAUAACGGAGGGAAACUUACGCUAAUACCGCAUACGACCUACGGGUGAAAGCAGGGGAUCUUCGGACCUUGCGCGAUUGAAUGAGCCGAUGUCGGAUUAGCUAGUUGGCGGGGUAAAGGCCCACCAAGGCGACGAUCCGUAGCUGGUCUGAGAGGAUGAUCAGCCACACUGGAACUGAGACACGGUCCAGACUCCUACGGGAGGCAGCAGUGGGGAAUAUUGGACAAUGGGCGCAAGCCUGAUCCAGCCAUACCGCGUGGGUGAAGAAGGCCUUCGGGUUGUAAAGCCCUUUUGUUGGGAAAGAAAAGCAGCAGGUUAAUACCCCGCUGUUCUGACGGUACCCAAAGAAUAAGCACCGGCUAACUUCGUG